RNAcentral lists this unclassified non-coding RNA (165 nucleotides) under rhizosphere metagenome. RNAcentral's name for it is "partial ribosomal RNA internal transcribed spacer region". The record is from RNAcentral.
GUAGGUGAACCUGCGGAAGGAUCAUUAAUAAAAAUACAAUAAUAUUAUUAUUAUAAUUCACCUCGAUGUGCAUUAAAAAAAUAUUUUUUUAUCAAAUCUAUGUCUUAAUAAUAAUUAAAAUAAAAUAUAAUAAUAAAACUUUCAACAACGGAUCUCUUGGCUCUC